Molecule: ribosomal RNA, 468 nt
Filed under: uncultured bacterium
Lineage: Bacteria
Description: partial 16S ribosomal RNA
Rfam family: Bacterial small subunit ribosomal RNA
Source: RNAcentral
GACGAACGCUGGCGGCGUGCUUAACACAUGCAAGUCGAACGGAAAGACCCUGCUUUUGUGGGGUGCUCGAGUGGCGAACGGGUGAGUAACACGUGAGUAACCUGCCCUUGACUUUGGGAUAACUUCAGGAAACUGGGGCUAAUACCGGAUAGGAGCUCCUGCUGCAUGGUGGGGGUUGGAAAGUUUCGGCGGUUGGGGAUGGACUCGCGGCUUAUCAGCUUGUUGGUGGGGUAGUGGCUUACCAAGGCUUUGACGGGUAGCCGGCCUGAGAGGGUGACCGGCCACAUUGGGACUGAGAUACGACCCAGACUCCUACGGGAGGCAGCAGUGGGGAAUAUUGCACAAUGGGCGGAAGCCUGAUGCAGCAACGCCGCGUGCGGGAUGACGGCCUUCGGGUUGUAAACCGCUUUCGCCUGUGACGAAGCGUGAGUGACGGUAAUGGGUAAAGAAGCACCGGCUAACUACGUG